UUAAAGUAUAGAUAUGUCUCUGCUAUCAGCUGUGGUUCUAUAAUAGCUGGCAAUACGUCUGCUGUAUCAGGGGCUGCCUGCCAAUAAUAAGCAGAAAUACAUGUGAUUUUAUGCUUCAAUAGCGUGUAAUCCUUAAAACUAUUCUGUUAUCUCUGAGUAAUAGCUCACCAUUGCUAUGUGUUAAAUUACUGCCUUUACUACAGACACUGCGCUUUAAUUGCUUCCAAAGGAUGGUUGCCGCUGUUCUAUCAAAAAACCCUACCCCGUGAAAAUUCCCUACCCUCGUCACUUCCGGUGACGUGGCCGCACCGGAAGUGACUAGGAAAAGCUCUAGGACGGGGGGGAGCGCCGCCACGCAAGCGCACAACUACUAGGUAGGGAAAUUUCACAUUGAGCAGGGGAAAAUAACGGCACAGUGCGCACGCGCGGCACAGUACUCCCAUCGGAGUACCCCAGCCAGAGGGACUGCCCCACAUCUGCAACCAAAUCCGUCGGUCACCGAAUUCAGUAAUCUCUGUCUCUUUGUCCAUUCUGUAUGUAUGGUACUCCCAAUUCUUUUAUUUAAUCCGGUGUGUCUCCCACAAUCUUUGUGUCUGUCUGCUGUAUGUAUGUGGCACGCAAGUCUGCAUGCACUGUGUCUGUUAUGCCAUUUACUCUAACCAGUUUUUCUUUAGUUUUUUUGUGUGUGUCACAACUCUGACAAGCAUGUUCUCCUACGGGACACAAAGUACAUGAAGAGGAAUGAAGAAGCCCAUGUUUGAUACUCGUCUCCAGGGUGGAGUAUUGAAUUUAUAAGUACUGAAGUGGCAUCUGGCACGUGACAAGCUGCUCCUGUUUGCACAGCGACUUCAACAUUGUGUACUGUGAUCACGGCUUAGUUCAGAGGUAGGUAACCUUGGGCAGUCCAGUUGCUGUGAAUUACACCUCCCAUAAUGCUGCAAAGCAUUAUGGAAGGUGUAAUCCAAAACAUCUGGAAUACCGAAUGCGUAUGAAUGAAAAGUAUGGUGUGUGUGAAUGGUCAGUAACAAGGGUUGAAGCCUUGACGUGACGUUACUGCUCACAUGUGUAUCCAUGUGCCAAUUCAACCAAUGUGAGUGACUGUAAUACUUAUGAGGUAACCAUAAAUACCGUGACUAUGGAGAAUUAAAUGCCUGUAUCACCUAAACACUGCUUAUACUGUGACCGUAUCUCCUAAACACUGCGGCCGCACAGGGCGCCAUGGAGCAGGGGGCGCCGUGCGGCUGACACAGCUCACACAUGGCUGGCCGGCAUCUAAAAAAGAAAAUUUGCGGCGGGGGCAGAGCUAAAGGUGCCAGAUAACUGCUGCAGGGGAAGCAGGAAGGAGUGGGGGGGGCGCUGUGAUGAUUUUUGGCACAUGGCGCCUAAAGGCCUAAGGCCGGCCCUGCUCUGUUGCAUUAGACCCAAUUCUGAGAUUAUGACCGAACCCUAAAGCACUUAAAAUGUUUAUGAUAUUUUAUUUAUGUAUUUUGAAUGUUGUGCAAAGACGCCAGAUGGUCACUGUUCCACUUCUAUUCCAGUGGCCAUGAAGGGCAGGUGAAGGUAGUUUUUACUUGACUUAAAAUGUCCUUUGUAUGCAUCUUCUUUCUCAAUGUCCUCUUCAGCUCCUGGAGCGUUAAUCUGCCAGGAGCCAACGGAAGCGCUCUACUCAAGUGUAUGCAUUAGCUCUGUCUUUUGUCAAAAGUAGAAAAAAUACUUAAGAUAAAGUUGUUCCUGUGGGCGUCGCAGAGAUGCUUUAAGUCAAAAUUGAAAGCGCUCUAUCAUUCUUUCUAUUGUACGCCUCUAAUCCUCUACAUGGAAAUUGUAGUUUGUAAAAAUAGAAAAUAUGUAGAUUGUAAUAUGCUUUCUGGUUACGUUCUGGUGAGUUUUAACUUAAUUUUCGAUUUUUACAGCUCCCAAGGGAAGGAGCAAACCGCCUUGAGGAGUCCCUGCAUAAGAGACUAUUGGAUACAGAAGGCUGUACUAAAGGAAGAUCUCAUCACAGCAUCAUCCAAGCCCUAGUCAGGAGUAUAUGAGGCCUCUUUAGAGUAAAGAGCGGCUAACAAUAUCUGAUAAUAGGCCACAUGUGCAAUUAUUAUGUAUAUAAUUAAUGUACAACAUACUUUUUCACUUUUUUGUUACAUUAGAGAUUAACAAAUAUUGUUAGAGUUUUUGUUUACUGCUGCCUUAAAAAAAAUAAUAUUAAAACUCCAAACAUUUUUGAAAUGUGCAGUGAAAUGUGUAUCUGUAAUCAACGUUAACCUGCUAAUUAUUGUGGGACAAUGGAGAGCAACCCCAAACUGGUACUCUAUCAAACAAUCCAGG
This 2322-nucleotide long non-coding RNA is filed under the name Pelobates cultripes (western spadefoot toad). The record is from RNAcentral. Lineage: Eukaryota; Metazoa; Chordata; Amphibia; Anura; Pelobatidae.